AAUAGAUACCCUGGUAGUCCACGCAGUAAACGAUGGAGACUAGGUGUGGCGGGAGUUGACCCCUGCCGUGCCGGCGCUAACGCAGUAAGUCUCCCGCCUGGGGAGUACGGCCGUAAGGCUAAAACUCAAAGGAAUUGACGGGGGGCCCGCACAAGCAGCGGAGCGUGUGGUUUAAUUCGACGCAACGCGCAACACCUUACCAAGGUUUGACAUCCCUGGAACCUGCCUGAAAGGGUGGGGUGCCUUCGGGAGCCAGGAGACAGGUGCUGCAUGGCUGUCGUCAGCUCGUGUCGUGAGAUGUUGGGUUAAGUCCCGCAACGAGCGCAACCCCCGUGGCUAGUUACGAGGUGUGUCUAGCCAGACUGCCGGAACCAAACCGGAGGAAGGUGGGGAUGAUGUCAAGUCAGCAUGGCCCUUACGCCUUGGGCGACACACACGCUACAAUGGCCGGGACAAUGGGCAGCCAAGCGGUAACGCGGAGCCAAUCCCCCAAACCCGGUCUCAGUUCAGAUCGUGGGCUGCAACUCGCCCACGUGAAGGCGG
RNAcentral lists this ribosomal RNA (543 nucleotides) under uncultured bacterium. RNAcentral's name for it is "bacterial SSU rRNA". It matches the Rfam family "Bacterial small subunit ribosomal RNA", at positions 777 to 1329 of the family's 1533-position model. The record is from RNAcentral.